UGGGGAAUAUUGGACAAUGGGCGCAAGCCUGAUCCAGCCAUGCCGCGUGAGUGAUGACGGCCUUAGGGUUGUAAAGCUCUUUCGACGGGGACGAUAAUGACGGUACCCGUAGAAGAAGCCCCGGCUAACUUCGUGCCAGCAGCCGCGGUAAUACGAAGGGGGCUAGCGUUGUUCGGAAUCACUGGGCGUAAAGCGCACGUAGGCGGACUUUUAAGUCAGGGGUGAAAUCCCGAGGCUCAACCUCGGAACUGCCUUUGAUACUGGGAGUCUCGAGUCCGGAAGAGGUUGGUGGAACAGCUAGUGUAGAGGUGAAAUUCGUAGAUAUUAGCUAGAACACCAGUGGCGAAGGCGGCCAACUGGUCCGGUACUGACGCUGAGGUGCGAAAGCGUGGGGAGCAAACA
RNAcentral lists this ribosomal RNA (402 nucleotides) under uncultured Labrys sp. RNAcentral describes it as "partial 16S ribosomal RNA". It matches the Rfam family "Bacterial small subunit ribosomal RNA", at positions 355 to 774 of the family's 1533-position model. The record is from RNAcentral. Lineage: Bacteria; Pseudomonadati; Pseudomonadota; Alphaproteobacteria; Hyphomicrobiales; Xanthobacteraceae.